GGGCCCGUAGCUUAGCCAGGAAGAGCGACGGGCUCUUAACCCGUAGGUCCCGGGUUCGAAUCCCGGCGGGCCCGCCA
This 77-nucleotide transfer RNA is filed under the name Acidianus manzaensis. RNAcentral's name for it is "tRNA-Lys". It matches the Rfam family "tRNA". From Rfam's summary of the family: Transfer RNA (tRNA) molecules are approximately 80 nucleotides in length. Their secondary structure includes four short double-helical elements and three loops (D, anti-codon, and T loops). Further hydrogen bonds mediate the characteristic L-shaped molecular structure. tRNAs have two regions of fundamental functional importance: the anti-codon, which is responsible for specific mRNA codon recognition, and the 3' end, to which the tRNAs corresponding amino acid is attached (by aminoacyl-tRNA synthetases). tRNAs cope with the degeneracy of the genetic code in two manners: having more than one tRNA (with a specific anti-codon) for a particular amino acid; and 'wobble' base-pairing, i.e. permitting non-standard base-pairing at the 3rd anti-codon position. The record is from RNAcentral. RNAcentral also lists the same sequence under 1 other name. Lineage: Archaea; Thermoproteati; Thermoproteota; Thermoprotei; Sulfolobales; Sulfolobaceae.